AGAGACAAAAGCAAACCAUGCUCACAGGGAUUAUCCCAACACAACUAUAAACAUUCUCCUAAGAAGAAUUUAAGGAUUCUCAGCUAGUCUGUUCCUGUUAUGAGACACAAAAAGUCUAUCAAUAGCCUGUAGUCCCAAAUUUUUUGUAUCCCAACUCCAGCCACCACUUUAUUUUUAACUCAUUUGUGCAGUGGACUUUUGUAAAUCCUCACCAACUAAUCCAGGGGCAGAGCCAGUCCCUUAAUUCUCAUUUUUUUCCCUAAGUUUUAAAGGGUUUGUUCAUGAUUUUUUUUAAGAAGUCUGAAGAUAGAUAGAUAUUUCAGAUCAUAGAAUGGCCUGGGUUGAAAAGGACCACAAUGAUCAUCUAGUUUCAACCUGCGUGCUAUGUGCAGGGUAGCCAACCACGAGAUCAUCAAAAUACUCAUUUUCCUAGUGUGGAAAGUGCAAACUUGCUUACAAACCCACUGUAAAUAGGCAGUGAAUAUGCAUCGUAUACAAUAAUCCCAAAAGAAUACAAAGCAGUUUUAAUAAUCUUCGUCCUUUUCUUGAGAUGUGCUGGUAAUCUUAUUCUGCAAUUCCUAAUGGUGUGAUAGUGAAAAAGGUCCCAUGGCUGGUCACACCAUGACACAGUUUGAAAAUUAUACGGCUGCUCUCCCUGUUAUGUUAAGAAAGAGGCAGAUUGAGAUAGCUUUCUCUGUAUCCCUGGGAGGGAAGCAGAGCCCUUGGCACUAGCCCACACCAAGGCAGGCAUGAGUAGUGUGGGUUUCUCAGCGAGUGACCUGAGCUUUUGCAGGUUAAUCCCUGGCCAGAGCUCCAAGGCAGCUCAGGGAACUGUGACCACCUGGAAGCCAAUUAAGUGUAGCUGAGCUUAUUUUGGUUCAGGCAUGAAAAAGAACAUAUUCUCUGAACAGACCUGGGCACCAUGCUGUUUUAACUUCCAGGGCCACUUAGAUCUUGGCUUCAAGUCUGCAGGCAUCGCUAACGUUCCUAAUAUUCUGUAAGAAAUGAAGGAAGAUGUAGAGGAGAAACUUUCUUUAGACACUUGGUAAGCAUUUUUUUUUUCUUGUCUUAUUGCCAGUGAGUCUGCAGAUCUCUUGCAGAGGUAAUUACACAAGAGGAGGAAGUGUCCUGUCUGAAUGUAUUUCCCGUAUUUUCUUGGCAGAUGAGAAGCAUCCUUCUAUUUAAAUUUGCCCUCAGAUCUGGUACUGUGUAGUACUGAAUCAAAAUGGCUGGUCCUGUACAAAUGUAUAGAAUACAAUUCAGUGAAAUCAUUCUUGAUUCGAAUAAUUUUGCCAUGGACGUCUUUGUGCACUAUGGAUUUGACACUGUCCACUAGGAUUAAUGGGACUUUCAAAACAGAGGUCAGUAGGCAGAGCCCUAGGCUCUCUAAGGGAAUCUCAACAGGUCCAAACUACACAUUUCUGUGCAACUUUAAUUACACAGUUUGUCAUACAUGUUACUGCUAUUCCUAGAGAAAACCUCAACUUCUCUCCCACUGCCCCCCACAAACACACACACAGAGUGAGCAAAUCCAGUGUUUAAGCAAGCUAAAGAACAGUGACAAUAUUAGACAUCUUCACUUCCAUCCUUAGGCAGCUUGGUAACAGGGACGUGGCCUUAGUAUGUAUUAUCCAUUACUGACUAACACUCUUGCCUUAAAGCAGUAAGGGAGUGUGUCCACAAUAUUUAGAUAAAGAGCUUUAACUGUUUAAGAGGCGUGUGCUAUAAGAAAGGUUUGGAUUUUAUACUACUUGCUGUGUCCCUGCACAGUUAGAUUAAUUGGAGAUAUAUACUGGGUUAUAAAGUGACACAUUCAUCGGUGAGCUUUUCUGUACCAACAAGCCUUGAGAUUCUUGACAGAAGCUCAAAACACAAAGUAGGAAUGGCAUGGAAAGUGACAAAAGAGCCUUCAUAAAGAAACACUGCUGCAAAUCACCUGUUUGCAUUUCAUUGCUUUCUUCUUCCAAGAAAUAGCUUCCAUUAAAGUUCUCAAAAGUCUACAGAAAUUUAUCAAAAAUAUGACAUGCAGAUUUUUGAAUGGAAUUUUCCAGAGCACAAAAAGGGGAAGACACAGUCAAUAAUUUGUUUAACUGCGCUUUACAUUAUUAAUUAUGCACUACUUCCAAUUUUUCCUUACAGAGGCAAAUGUAUCAAGUGGUAUUGGCCGUCAUAUGCCAAGUGAUGUUUGUAAAAGCUUUUAAUUGGAAGAGUCUUAUUAAGAUAGCGUAAUGAGAUCAGAUUUCCUUGAGACUGUAAAGGGUCUCAUCUUGCUCCAGCUUAAGUCAGUAGCAGAACUCCUCUGUAUUUGUUGUGCUUUGAUUAUUAGAUCAAAGAAACAUUUUUAGAAAGCCUGGAUAAGCCCUGACAAAUUUAUUAAGCAUUUCAGCUAGUUGAUGUGUAAUUUAUUGCCACGUGUUCUGUAUUUUACUUAUUUCUCUAGCUUCCCCAAAAACACUUGUUGUGCAACACCUAUUAUUUAAAACUUUAACUGGGGUUUUGCAAUAUUUAAGAGAUGCAUUUAAUCAUGUCUGUGUAUUUGCUGAAAAAAAAGAAGACAAAGUUCUGAAUCCUGGGUUCAAAUGUUUUGCUAAAGUGUGCACACAUCAUGCAUGCACAGUAUUUAAGCACAGCUAGUCUUAACUGCUGUUCUUAUUUAACCAAAGAAUACUCCAUUACCAAUGAAAUUUUCAUCACUUAGCUGGAUGAAGUUCAGUACGUUUUAUUUCUGGAUGUGUACUGCAAUCUGCAAUGCAUUUUGAUUUCUAAAGAUACUGAAUGUUAACAAAAUGCCUAUCAAGGACAAAAUGCAAAUAAAACAGUUUUCAAAG
This 2828-nucleotide long non-coding RNA is filed under the name Gallus gallus (chicken). RNAcentral describes it as "lncRNA (ENSGALG00010016051.1)". Lineage: Eukaryota; Metazoa; Chordata; Aves; Galliformes; Phasianidae. The record is from RNAcentral.